CCGGUCGGGCAGCCGCCGCCCUGGUGCUCGCUCCGUUCCGCCCGGCGGCCACUCGCCAGCUCACAGCCCUGCAAAAUCCCCAGCCCCGCUUUGAGUCGCCUCAUCUUGGAUCUUUGCCGUACGCCACCUAGCUGCUCCUUGGCGUUGUCCGGGUGUAAAGCGUCCGGAUGUACGGCUGGGGUGAGAUAAGAUCCUGGGUGACUGGUCAAGGAAGAUAGGCCUUUACCACACCGCUGAGGAUGGCUACACAGGGGACUUGUGUCCCAGCAUGUGUACAACCUUCAGAGUGGUAGCACCUAGGAGCACAGCCACUAGGAAGGAAUCAAGUAAGCUUGCUGGACUAUUCUGAGUGGGAAUUGCCCAAAGACAGCAACAGAACAGCCUCUUCCAGCACUGCCAUCUGAUCUGCCUGCCAGUGCCAACAUCCUACAUCCUGUCUGUGCCAAAGCACCUUCUCCUCCUCUUCUUAUGGGAACUUGCCUAUCCUUGGUGUGCAAAACACUGGAUUAGCCAUUCAAGUUAAAGGUUAACUCCAAGAGCCCUUUAGUUUUGCAAUCCCGUUCUCUGAGGAUAUUAGUUUAUUUUACUGCACAGAAGCCUCAAUUCACAUGAAGUGAAUGACUCCAUUCAGCUGAGGUGCCUUGUUCUCCCAGAGUCAUCCUGAAAUUUGUGGAAAGAGUAUUUCUAGAAGGCAGUUUGCCUAACCAAGGUCUAAUCUCUCCCAGGAGGGUCCUAACUCCUUGUACUUGGUGUGGAGAGCAGAUAGGCCAGCUGAGUUCUUAGUUUGUAAAAUGUGGUAGCUGGCACACAAACCCAAGAGGUGUAUUGAUGCUUGCAUCGAGACUCAGGAUUUCAGAGACUGUCAGGCAGGUUUUUGUCACCCAGUUUGUGAGUAGAGCAGCCCUGAGUUCCAGUGGCUGAAGAUGACCUAGAGAGGUAAAUUUGACCAAGGAGAACAUGCAGUGGACUAAGAUCAUGAGAACAAUAACGGGCGUGGAGUUAAGACAAAUCAACUGCACCAGUGACAUUCAUGGUGUAUGUUUGUCUAACCUGCUAAUAAAACCUGCAACAGUAGGU
Molecule: long non-coding RNA, 1077 nt
Filed under: Strigops habroptila (Kakapo)
Lineage: Eukaryota; Metazoa; Chordata; Aves; Psittaciformes; Psittacidae
Description: lncRNA (ENSSHBG00005000188.1)
Source: RNAcentral